UUUGCAUGUGGCUCCUCUGCACACAUGCGAAGUCUACAACGUGUGCCGCGGUACCGAGACCCCCUGGUCCGCAAUGUAGCCCGAAUGCUCCUGCGCGGCUUGCAAGAGCAGCAUCAUACACCGUCCUCGACAAGGCUCGAGCUUGAGGUGCGGCUCGGCAGCAUCCUGGCGCACACUCGGGCACGUCAGCUAGAUAUACCCAUUGCCGUAGCGUCGCCAGCCUUGAUGGAUGAGACGGCGCGCAACGUCUACCAAUUCCAUGCUGGCAUUUCGCACCCACUGCUUCACGGGAUGCAGGCGGCUCUGCUAGAGGCUGGUCUUGCCACGCGAAAAGACGUGGACCUGCAAGGAGGGAGAGUUGAUGUGCACGUGUUUCUUUCCAAUGAGAAACGGCUUCACUGUCUCUACCAGCCGCUCCACGGGGAAGCCCCCGGUGCGCGCGCAGACGGCGUCAAGACGGCCGCCUCAAACCCCGAGGCGCCGCCGUACAAUCCGCUGUGCCUCACCCAGAGUAUCACGGUUCUUUCUGCCGAAAAGAAGGGCCGGUUGGCUAUGAUGGACAUGUGCUGCCCAGGCUGGUGCGCUGACCUGCGUUUCGCUCUCUCUAAGGAGACGGCUGUGCCCGUUGAGCUGACGGAUGCAACGAAGGAGCGGGCGAUCGCGUCGCGCUGCCGUGCGCGCACAUCCGUCCCGGUCGGGCGUUUUUUUUCGGUUCAAAUGACACAGUCGAUCUUCAGCCGGGAUGUCUGGUGGUACCCGCCACCGGCCGUGCGCUCCUACCUCGAGAUGGACGCGGGUGCGUCAUCAUCACCCGCGGCGGUCACGGGCACGACCGUGUUCGGUGUCGGCACGGUGCUCCCAACACCAGUGCUGUUUUAUCCGGAGAAAGCGGCGGGACGCAUCGGUCGGAGCGACGCGGAAACCACGAUCGAAGUCGAGGUGGAGAUCAACCUGCGCGCGCUGCUGCGUGAGUGGAAACGCGUCUAUGGGGGUGCUGCCGCGUCUGCUUACCUAUCCACCUCGGCGCUUGUGGAUACAACGUGCGCCGGAACGUCGAUCGCAGGCGACGCAACGCUUAAGCCGUCAAUAGCCACGGCGACCAUAGAUGACGUCGCCGAUAUGCACGCCACGGUAUUGGCGGAGAGGGAAGACCCCUAUCUCUUGCGCGUGGCCGAAGAAGUGAUGGCAGUGGUGCAGCUGCUCACCAAGGUGCGCGUCGUCGAGUGAGGCUCCCGGCUUUUGAACAUCCUGGCUAUGUCUGUCCGUCUCCCUCUCUUAUCAUCACAGUCCCGAAACUCAGCGAGACGAAGAUGAGGUACCGCGAACAUGUCGCACAAACAGUCGUCAGGCGCAGGAGCAGGCGUCGAAGCAGGGAGAGGGAGAGGGAGGGAGGUGGCAGGGAAGACGGCGGCCAGGCAUGCGGUACAUGAGCGCCUCUUCACAUGUGCACACACACACACACACAUGCACGUGCGGAGGUGUGCUUACGAAGGGAAGUACUAAACUCCACAACAGAACUCUCCGAAUGAGAGCCACCCGUGGAUGCGCGCGCACGCACGCACUGCACCGCUGCCUCCUCUCCUUCUCUCUCUCCCUGCAUUCCCCAUCGGAGUGCAUUGGCGUGUAUACGCAAACAGUCUCAGGGAGGAGGGUAGCAAGUGCCACGCUGUUUUCUGUGCCGCUGUCUCAUGAUGACCUACUGCCACUACUGCCCAUGUGACCGUGGCGAGACCGGCGGGGGGAGGGAGAGGUGAUGCACGUACUUCUGUAAAAUGCGGUGCUUCUUCCUGAGGCAUUGAAGCCUGCAGUUCUACUGUGUUCUCUCUCGCUCUCUGUCUCUCUCCCCCACAUGCACACAUACACACGCACGCGCACUUGUUGGCCUUUGGUCUUCUCUUGAUCUCACUUUCACGCCACAG
RNAcentral lists this unclassified non-coding RNA (1919 nucleotides) under Leishmania donovani. RNAcentral's name for it is "gene:LdHU3.14.0560(CDS-product:mRNA_capping_enzym e_beta_chain_putative)". Lineage: Eukaryota; Euglenozoa; Kinetoplastea; Trypanosomatida; Trypanosomatidae. The record is from RNAcentral.